CUGGACACUUGGACAUCCACUAAGUAAGGCGUGGCCAGACACCCGCCUUGAACAAGCACAGUGCGAGGGAACAUCCAUGGUGUUAAAAGCUGAUACGAUUAUCCAAGAUUCACCGGAAUGGAAACCAUUCUACAACCGGGGAAGAGCGCAGUCCAGUUUGAUUUUACUUCAUGCUGACCGAAGCUUCAAUUGCGGAAACCGAGGAAGUAUACAGCAAAUUCCGAUGGCUAAUGAUCGAAAUCCAACUAAGAAACUGCAUUUGAGAACCUUUAUCGAAAAUCCUGAUGUUCCACGCUUGCCCGCCGGAGUCCUUUUCGAAAAAUUUGGCAACUGUGGCACGCGGUGCUGGUUUGUUGAUCAAGACGGUCAAAAACUUCGGCAUCAUGCGUAACAUGCCGUGGAUUUGUGCUUGGUGCCGUUUCCAAUCGAAGAACAAUCACCGUGACCGUCACCAAGGACGAGUGGUGAAUUAUUAUGGCCAACGCAAGGCUGUGUUGCUCAAAAGGGGGACCGACACUCAACGGUUUUCAGUUACGAGCUAACGACGCUGCCAUCAGCGAUUUCAAGGGGCCAACAAAUAAUCAUCGAAGGUGCAUGUGCAAGGACAUUUGGUGAUGGUAACAUUUUCAUUGAGCUGUAUGCUUCAGAUGAGUGCAUAAGCGGUGGUAAGCGAACACCCAUUCGUUUUAAGACGCUCUCAGAGGCCGGAUACCUUCACUUACCACCAGAUGUCGAUCGGAAAAAUGUAGUUAUUAACCACCUUUAAUCUAAUGGAGAAAGGAGACUAGCUGUUUCUGAGCAACAAUAAGUUCAACAUCGAGCCGAAGAUUCCAUACCUGCCAGAGUAGUGAGAUUGGCAGCAGUACAUCCAAUGAAUUUUCUGGAUAUAUCCCAAGAGUUAAACUACGGAACAGGAUUUAGCAGCCGACUCUAUGCAUAAGCUGCAUAAGCGUUCUAAAUGAUACAUCGCAAGCGCUAAUGAUAAGUGCAGAUAACAAUCGUACGGGUGCUGAAAAUAAGCUAUCCAGAUAUGGAACUACACCGCAACACGGGUGAUAGACUAC
Long non-coding RNA from Uranotaenia lowii, 1064 nucleotides. RefSeq lists it as uncharacterized. NCBI's taxonomy places the organism in Eukaryota, Metazoa, Arthropoda, Insecta, Diptera, Culicidae. The record is from RefSeq and is a predicted model, not a curated record. The transcript has 5 exons.